CAACUUUCAACAACGGAUCUCUUGGUUCUGGCAUCGAUGAAAAACGCAGCGAAAUGCGAUACGUAGUGUGAAUUGCAGAAUUCAGUGAAUCAUCAAAUCUUUGAACGCACAUUGCGCCCUUUGGUAUUCCAAAGGGCAUGCCUGUUCGAGCGUCAUUU
RNAcentral lists this ribosomal RNA (158 nucleotides) under Alternaria sp. RNAcentral describes it as "5.8S ribosomal RNA". It matches the Rfam family "5.8S ribosomal RNA". Rfam says of the family: 5.8S ribosomal RNA (5.8S rRNA) is a component of the large subunit of the eukaryotic ribosome. It is transcribed by RNA polymerase I as part of the 45S precursor that also contains 18S and 28S rRNA. The record is from RNAcentral. Lineage: Eukaryota; Fungi; Ascomycota; Dothideomycetes; Pleosporales; Pleosporaceae.